Triticum dicoccoides is the source of this 2194-nucleotide RNA transcript. It is a transcript of the gene named ATP-dependent DNA helicase PIF6-like, with no coding region annotated. The record is from RefSeq and is a predicted model, not a curated record. Lineage: Eukaryota; Viridiplantae; Streptophyta; Magnoliopsida; Poales; Poaceae. The transcript is spliced from 4 exons.
UGAAGCAGACUCUGUUUCUUCGGAUCUGCACGCCCCCGCUGUCGCUCCGUACUCGCGCCGCCACAACUCGACAGCUCGGCCCUCCACCGCCGGCCGCCGGCCGCCGGCCGCGACAAGAGCUCCCCAGUUUCUCAUCUGUGCCAAUUCGACUCCAAUCGCUCAAACUUGGGCUGCCCAGAAGUUUCCCCUCAGGCGCUUACCAUCCCUGAGUACUGUUCCACGUGCUCACCGCCACCGCUUCCUGGCAUCUCCGCCCAUACGUGCCUCAGGCCAAUCCACCCCGGAAGUUGCUGCCUCUGCAGGUGCUAGCAGCCGGAUGGUAUACCAGUGAAGCCCAACCGAUAUGAGCACAACCUCACGCGCCGGCAGCUUCGAUGUGAAGAGUGACUUAUAUUGCGGACAAUUAUCUAGGAAGCAAGUGAAAGGAAAUUCAAGUAACCAUACAACAUCCAUUGGAAUGCCAAGACGGGCUCCUUUUCAAGAUAUUACAAAUGUGGUUGACUCACAUAGUUUAUCAAAGAGAAAACAAGCGCAAAAUAUUCUUGGUUCAGCGGAUCAUCCAAUUACUGGGACGAAACGAUUUGUCACCUCCUGUCCUACAGUUACAGGUCCAUUUGCCAAAUUUGCAUACGGUCUGUUAUAAAGACUGCGAUAAUUUGGAAAAUGUGAUUAGUAUAGAAUCAUCUUCCAAGACAAUGCUUACCGAGUUUUUUAGAAUGAAUUCCAUUGAUCCAUAUGCUAGAAAUUUCCUAUAUAAGGAAUUCCCUGAAUUUUAUACAUGGCAAAGGAACCGCAAAACAUGGAAAUGACGCACCCAGAGAAUUCAAAUAGGUCGACUUGUUGCGGCUCACCCUGCAGAAGGAGAACGCUAUUACUUGAGAAUAUUGCUAAACCAUGUGAGGGGGCCCACAUCUUUUGAUGAUUUACGUACUGUUGAUGGUGUUAUUUUCUCCACAUUUAGAGAAGCUGCGGAGAGAAGGGGUCUCAUAGAAGCGGAUAAUAGUAUUUUUGACUGUCUCACUGAAGCUGCUACAUUUCAAAUGCCCUAUGCACUUAGACGGCUUUUUGCUACAGUUUUGGCAUUUUGCGAAGUUACAAAUGUUCGUGCAUUAUGGAACAAACACUUUGAAGCAAUGUCUGAUGAUUUUCUUAGGGAGAGCAUAAGUGAUGAAGCAGUCGAGAAACUGGUGCUUGGAGAUAUUCAAGAUUUGUUAUAUUCCAUGGGAAAGGACAUCAAGACCUUUGAUCUUCCAAAUCUAUUGGAUGCUGAUGACCUAGAUAGCUUAGAGGCUAAAGAACUGACUGAAGAAAUGUCUAUUAAAGUUGCUAAAGAAGACCUGGAGCUGGAGGCAACUCUAAACAAUGAACAACAACUUGCUUUUGAUGAAAUAAUGGAUCAUGUGUUGCACACGAAGGGUAAGGUCUUCUUCAUCGAUGGUCCAGGAGGUACAGGAAAGACGUACCUUUAUAAAGCUUUAUUGGCUAAAGUACGAUCCAUGGGGUUGAUAGCCAUUGCAACAGCAACAUCUGGCAUUGCAGCUUCUAUCAUGCCUGGUGGCCGGACUGAAGAUGAUGUGCUUCCCUUCAAGUUCAAGAGAAAGCAAUUUCCAAUUCGUCUUAGCUUUGCAAUGACAAUCAAUAAAGCUCAAGGCCAAACCAUUCCACAUGUUGGUAUCUACCUUCCAGAACCUGUUUUCUCUCACGGUCAACUAUAUGUUGCAUUGUCUCGAGGAAUAUCAAGGCAAACAACAAGAAUACUUGCCAAGCCAAAUAAGGAUAUUGACCCAUCGGGAAAAAGUACCAAAAAUAUUGUCUAUAAGGAGUUUUUGGCAUGAUUAGUGUACAGAAUGCAGCACUGCCUCUGUUUCAUAUAUGGUCAAUUGGAAUCAUGUGCCUUUCUGGAUCUUGAACUGGCGAUCUCCGUGAAUAAGAGGGAUUUCUCCUCCUUGUGUUUCCUGUUCGACAAAGUAAAGAAGAAACUUGCUUCUCCAUGCUAUUUCAGGGUUUCUUUCAAGGGUAUAAGGAGAGUGUAAUCCUUUAGUAGUCCAUAGUUUAGCUAUGCAGGCGUCAUUGGUUUCUGGUUAGAUGAUACCAAGCGCCUUGCCUUGGAAUAUUUUGUAAAUUGUUUAACAGCGUGUUGCAAUAAAGUUUUCUCUUUCAUGUAAAAGAAAUGUUAGCCAUGUGCUUUUAUGAU